UACGUAGGGGGCGAGCGUUUCCCGAAUUUACUGGGCGUAAAGCGCACGUAGGCGGCUUCGUAAGUCUGGUGUGAAAUCUCACGGCUCAACCGGGAGGCUGCACCAGAUACUGCGAAGCUCGAGGACGGGAGAGGAGAUCGGAAUUCCCGGUGUAGCGGUGAAAUGCAUUGAUAUCGGGAGGAACACCAGUGGCGAAGGCGGAUCUCUGGCCCGUUGCUGACGCUGAGGUGCGAAAGCUGGGGGAGCGAAAGGG
Molecule: ribosomal RNA, 253 nt
Filed under: uncultured bacterium
Lineage: Bacteria
Description: partial 16S ribosomal RNA
Rfam family: Bacterial small subunit ribosomal RNA
Source: RNAcentral